GAUUUCUUCGGGAUGAAAGUUUUGUGACUGAGUGGCGGACGGGUGAGUAACGCGUGGGUAACCUGCCUCAUACAGGGGGAUAACAGUUAGAAAUGACUGCUAAUACCGCAUAAGACCACAGGAUUGCAUGAUCCGGUGGUAAAAACUCCGGUGGUAUGAGAUGGACCCGCGUCUGAUUAGGUAGUUGGUGGGGUGACGGCUCACCAAGCCGACGAUCAGUAGCCGACCUGAGAGGGUGACCGGCCACAUUGGGACUGAGACACGGCCCAAACUCCUACGGGAGGCAGCAGUGGGGAAUAUUGCACAAUGGGGGAAACCCUGAUGCAGCGACGCCGCGUGAGCGAUGAAGUAUUUCGGUAUGUAAAGCUCUAUCAGCAGGGAAGAAAAUGACGGUACCUGACUAAGAAGCACCGGCUAAAUACGUGCCAGCAGCCGCGGUAAUACGUAUGGUGCAAGCGUUAUCCGGAUUUACUGGGUGUAAAGGGAGCGUAGACGGAGAGGCAAGUCUGAUGUGAAAACCCGGGGCUCAACCCCGGGACUGCAUUGGAAACUGUUUUUCUAGAGUGUCGGAGAGGUAAGUGGAAUUCCUAGUGUAGCGGUGAAAUGCGUAGAUAUUAGGAGGAACACCAGUGGCGAAGGCGGCUUAC
Molecule: ribosomal RNA, 647 nt
Filed under: uncultured Lachnospiraceae bacterium
Lineage: Bacteria; Bacillati; Bacillota; Clostridia; Lachnospirales; Lachnospiraceae
Description: bacterial SSU rRNA
Rfam family: Bacterial small subunit ribosomal RNA
Source: RNAcentral